GCCCAGAACUGUGUUAGUCACCCACGCUCGCCCGCUCCGAUCCAUGGUCACCAUCUCGGGUGCACGGACCAUUGUGACUAGUCUACGUUUUGGGAAGACGCACGGGUCCCCUGUGGCAGUCGAGCACUGUAGACUUUCCUACUUUUUCUUCCCACUCACCCGGUCCCCUUUACUUGGCAGACCUCGCUUGGUCAAGAUGGGACAAGAACAUGCUAGACCAGCUAAAGGGUUUUUAGCUUGUGAUAUCGAGAAGGAAAGGGUGGGGGAGGAGGCAAUGUUAAAGAUCAAGAAAAUUGCUAAGAUCUGUG
Non-coding RNA from Pelobates cultripes (western spadefoot toad), 308 nucleotides. The record is from the annotation of a GenBank genome assembly. NCBI's taxonomy places the organism in Eukaryota, Metazoa, Chordata, Amphibia, Anura, Pelobatidae.